AUAUCACAGCCCCUCUCCAAUGGAUAGUACUAUAAAUCUUAAAAUGAAUUUUCAUUCAGAGUAAUAAACACAAGCCAAAGUUUUGUAGAUAUGUAACAUCUGUCAACUUUUUGUGUUAUCUACUUGUUUUCCGAAACACUGCUUCUGGUUUUAAAGGUAACUUCCCACAGUGUUUCACUAAUAACAUUUUAAGCAUUACAAGUUCAACACUGAAGGUCAAAUGACAAUGAACUUUCAGUGCUUCCAAAAGCAGGGGCAGAGGGCAACUGCUGAGGGGGACAUUGUAUAGCCUAACCUUCUCAGAAUUUGAUUUAAAAGUAUGAUCUUCACAGCGUUGGCCAGCAAUAUCAUGGUCACUCCCUACGUCAUUCCCUGGGAGAAAAACAGCCCUAGGUUACCUAAACACUGUUGGCUAAGACCAAAUAUUUAUUAACAUCCUAAGCAGCCCCAUAAUCAAGCCAACGCUGAUAGGGACAAAGAAGGUGCCAUGUGCAGUUUUUCUCCAUGUCCCCGCAAUAUCUGAUCUGAAUUUUAAAAAGGGCAAUUACUGGGGGAGAAGGAAGCCUAUAUAUUAUGUAGGAUCCAAGUCUCAAACUGCUUUCCUAGGGAGUGUGAGGUUCUUGGAGAUUAAGUGCAGUACCUUUCUGUCUUGAGUCCUGUAGGCUGCCCUUCUAAUUUAAUGCCAGUCUUGAAAUAAACAGAAUGCUUUCCAAGUCAUCGCUAAUUUUAACACUUUGGCUUAGAAUUGAUUCAACACUGCCUCCUUGCUGAAUGGAUAAUUCAAGCAAAAGACUCAAGAGCUGGAUGCUACCCAGACAGGUAGGCAGCCAGAUGAAGUGAGUGCCCAGGGAAAGGGCAGUAAGGGUCAGAAGAGAAAGAGGCUGGUGUUGUCACUGCCUCCUGCCUUCCUUAUGACUGUCUGUUCAGGAGUCGUCCUAGCAUCUCCCUUCUGCCGUGCUCCCUUUCCUGAAACCUUUUCUUCAAAAGAAGUGGAAAAGAGGAACAGGGAACCCGUAUAGCAACAGCAUCACCUGGAAUGAAUUCCGUUAGAACAUACUGUCUUGGAAAUCUAAAGCCUGCAGGGCUGGACAGGCAAGAAGAGCAGUGAGCACUGCAUGAACCUAUAAGCAAAUCAGCAUGUGGAUGGUUUUUUGUUUUUUGGGUUUUUUUGAGACAGUCUUACUCUGUUGCCUAGGCUGGAGUGCAGUGGCACGAUCUUGGCUCACUGCAACCUCCAGCCUGCUGGGCCAAGGUGAUUGUCCCACCUCAACCUCUCAAGUAGCUGGGACCACAGGUGUGCACCAACAUGCGCAGUGAAUUUUUGUAGAGAUGGGGUUUCGUUAUGUUGGCCAAGCUGGUCUUGAACUCCUAGGCUAAGCAGUCGGCCUCCCAAAGUGUUGGGAUUACAGGCAUGAGCCACUGCACCAGGCCACACAUGCUUAUCUUACUCAGUCUUGCCCCUGAAUACCCAGAAGGCCUAAACUUAGGAAAAAGUCAGGGGAGGGAUGAGUUUAUCAUUCUUUGCACUCAAGCACAAAGUGCUUUGGAGUCGUUAUAUUUGGGUGAGUGCUUGCACUAUGAGUAGGAUAUUAUUUAGAAGCUGAGUUGUGUGCUGAGCAAAUACUUCUUUAAAAAUCAAAGCUGUAUGAAGAGAUCUGUUCUAGAGUCACAGUGUGGCUAAAUAGUGUGCUAUAAGAUAAGCAUAGGGCUCUUGAGGUGGUGCUGUUCUCCCACUGUAAUGAGUUUACUGUUCUUGCUAAGGAAAGUGAUCCUUUAUCAACCUCUCCUCUCAAAUGAACUGGCUUGUUUCCUGAGUGUGCCUUCAUGGAACCAUGUCUCCUCUUCCCUCAGUUCUCUCCUUCCCUCCCUUAUGUAUGACUCCUCCCAUAAUGCACACACAUGGAUUGAACCAAGUGAGGAUAUUUAUCUGCUUCCUACCUCAUAGAAGGGCAUAGAGUGGACAGGGUCUAAGGUUAGUUCCUGAACUGAGUACCCACACAUGCAGAACUUUAUUUAAAGCUGCUGAAACUUUUGUAUAACAGAUAGAUCAAUAGGACUGAAAACUGAUGGUUUUACCUGCUUGUUGAACGUGAUUAAGUUCCAUGGCACCAUUUUAAAAUUGUGCUGUAUAGUUUUUGUAUGUUGCUUAAGAAGCAGUUUAGCCUAAUGGUUAAAAGCAUGGUCUCUGGAACUAGAUUUCCUCUGUAUGCCUCAGUUUCCUCAUCUGGGAAUAAUAAUAGUUCUACCUCAUGGGGUUGUUAUGAGGAUUAAAUAAUUUAAUUAAAUGAUUUCAUACAACUCUGAAUUGUACUUGACACUUAGUACUCAAAUAUUAACUGGGCCCAUCAUUAUCAUUACAGAUGUUGUUUACAAGCACUUGCCUUUGAGAUUUGUUUAGCUUUUUUAUUAAAUUAUGAGCAGCAUAGUAGAACAAUACAUAGGCUUGGGCCUGGAAUCAGAUUCUAGCUUUGCCUGUUACUAGUUUUGAAACUUUGAGUAAAUUACUUGAUGUGUCUGAGUUUUAAUAUUCUUAUAUGUAAAUUAUUUUUUAAAAGGAUUUUGCUUAGUGUUGAUAUACACACAUUUAACACAGUUAUGGAAAUUAUUAUUUUUACUAUUGUCAUAGAUAAGAAAUUAGCCCCUGGGUUGCUGGAGGGUGGUAAUGGUUAGGCAAACUCUCUUUGAAGUCUGCUUGAUCUGGCCUCUUGCAGGCAUGUACUCCGAAAUAUUUUUCAAAUGGAAAAGAAGGCAGAGAACACAAUUUUCAAAAUAUCUAGAGGCCUCCGAGAAGUCUUUGUAGAGAUCUAUAAAAUCUCAAGGCAAUUUAAAGGCAAUAAGACAACUUUAUUAAUAAUUAAAAUGUAAAUGUUAAUGAUAGCCCUUUGUAUACCUAUAUUAUCUUUUUCUGAAUAAUAGAAAAUGUUUUAGAAACACUAUUCUCUCCACAUCCUGGGGCCGCAGCCUUCUCCAAAGAAACACAAAGAAGGAAAUGAAUUGCCUUAGCAAAAAAACAAAGACACUCCAAAUAACAGAAGAAUGGGAAAGCUACAGACCUUGAAGUCAGAAGAAAAUUUCCUCUCCUUGCCCUGUUUCUCCUUAAAUGGAUCACCAGUACAGUCUCUUACUUCUAGAGCCAUGUUAAGCCUUUUUCCCCUAAGUUGUAAUGUCCUUUUGGUUGCAUCAUGUCCUAAGAUGCAAGAUGGUACAAGAUGAAGGUAUAUGAAGAGAUAAUGAAGAAAACAAAUUCAAUGUAUUUGCCAAGAACACAGUCUUUUAAAUAACUCUUAAAGGGUUCGUUUAGAACAAUGUAAUAGAUUGUGGUAAUCUAGUACACAAAGCUAGUAGGAAUCUCAUGUAUUAAUAUUUCAACAUUCAGCAGUAGAGGGCAGCACUGUCCUUUUGCAAAAUGUUGCACACUCUUGAGAAGGAAAAUAA
Long non-coding RNA from Macaca fascicularis (crab-eating macaque), 3435 nucleotides. NCBI's taxonomy places the organism in Eukaryota, Metazoa, Chordata, Mammalia, Primates, Cercopithecidae. The record is from Ensembl.